This 465-nucleotide ribosomal RNA is filed under the name Vreelandella stevensii. RNAcentral's name for it is "partial 16S ribosomal RNA". It matches the Rfam family "Bacterial small subunit ribosomal RNA", at positions 338 to 795 of the family's 1533-position model. Lineage: Bacteria; Pseudomonadati; Pseudomonadota; Gammaproteobacteria; Oceanospirillales; Halomonadaceae. The record is from RNAcentral.
CCUACGGGGGGCUGCAGUGGGGAAUAUUGGACAAUGGGGGGAACCCUGAUCCAGCCAUGCCGCGUGUGUGAAGAAGGCCCUCGGGUUGUAAAGCACUUUCAGUGAGGAAGAACGCCUGGUGGUUAAUACCCAUCAGGAAAGACAUCACUCACAGAAGAAGCACCGGCUAACUCCGUGCCAGCAGCCGCGGUAAUACGGAGGGUGCGAGCGUUAAUCGGAAUUACUGGGCGUAAAGCGCGCGUAGGUGGCUUGAUAAGCCGGUUGUGAAAGCCCCGGGCUCAACCUGGGAACGGCAUCCGGAACUGUCAAGCUAGAGUGCAGGAGAGGAAGGUAGAAUUCCCGGUGUAGCGGUGAAAUGCGUAGAGAUCGGGAGGAAUACCAGUGGCGAAGGCGGCCUUCUGGACUGACACUGACACUGAGGUGCGAAAGCGUGGGUAGCAAACAGGAUUAGAUACCCGACUAGUC